CCUGGCCGGGGCGUCCCUCGGGUCGACGCCGUUCCCCUGCCGGGGGUUCCGGGGGCCGCCGUCCCGCCCCUCGGGCCGGGUCCGCGCCCCCGGGCCGGGA
RNAcentral lists this transfer RNA (100 nucleotides) under Streptomyces lavendulae subsp. lavendulae. RNAcentral's name for it is "tRNA-Gly". Lineage: Bacteria; Bacillati; Actinomycetota; Actinomycetes; Kitasatosporales; Streptomycetaceae. The record is from RNAcentral.